AGUAGCAAAGGUCGGAAAGGCCCCCGACACACUCGUAAGAGUACCUGAGAUGAUGGAUACGCCGCCCAUCUUGUUGCU
Molecule: non-coding RNA, 78 nt
Submitted as: unclassified sequences
Source: Rfam